This 217-nucleotide unclassified non-coding RNA is filed under the name Ascomycota sp. Its description in RNAcentral is "partial contains small subunit ribosomal RNA, internal transcribed spacer 1, and 5.8S ribosomal RNA". The stretch from base 1 to 47 matches the Rfam family "Eukaryotic small subunit ribosomal RNA", at positions 1785 to 1831 of the family's 1831-position model. The record is from RNAcentral. Lineage: Eukaryota; Fungi; Ascomycota.
AAAGUCGUAACAAGGUUUCCGUAGGUGAACCUGCGGAAGGAUCAUUAUCGUGGGGCUCCGGCCCCGUCGAGAUAGCACCCUUGCCUUUAUGAGUACCGCCCGUUUCCCCGGCAGGCUCGCCCGCCAAUGGGGACACAAACAACACCCUGAGACACCUGUAACCGCCUGAUAAAACAGACAAAAGUCAAAACUUUCAACAACGGAUCUCUUGGCUCUG